GCCGUCGUAGUACAAUGGUAGUACAUUGCUUUCCUAAGGCAAAGGUUGUGGGUUCGAGCCCCAUCGUCGGUU
Molecule: non-coding RNA, 72 nt
Organism: Asterophora parasitica
Lineage: Eukaryota; Fungi; Basidiomycota; Agaricomycetes; Agaricales; Lyophyllaceae
Source: the annotation of a GenBank genome assembly